CCUCCGGUUACCCCGCCGCCAAAGCAGCCACUGGCCCCGCCGGCCACCUGGCGGCGAUUGAGCUCCUCCUCGUCGGCGUCUGUCUCCCCUCCGCUAACCCGGCUUGGAGUGAAGAUCUAUCCAGACGAGAUUCCUUUUGUUGGUAGCACCUAUCAAGGGCCAGAAAGACAUUUGUGUUGGUCAGCUCUCUAUCAGAUGUAAAGAGGGUGCAGAUAAAGCUUCGAAAGAGUCCAUCCCAACAGUUAUUAGAAAUGAUGUGGACGAAACGACAGAUCCUCUUCUAAUCCAAUGUGCUUACUCCAGGCAGCCAUGGUUCCGAUGACUCAAAUCUGUUGAACCUUCCUGCUCUCACUACAUCGCCUUCUGAUACGUUGUUGGACUGGUGGAGCUCCUCCCACUCUCGCCUGCUGCCUGAUAAGCGUGAGGGAUUUGAUUCGGCAGUCAUUUCGGCCUGCUGGAAUCCGUGGAAGCAAUAGAAAUACAUGGUUUUGAUUAACAUCAACCAAACCAGUCAGGAGGCAACCUUAGCUGCGCUGAUUCAUGAUGAAUCGCAGGACUAGGCAAGAGCGGGAGCGGCUAUAGUCAGUGUUUGCUGUUUUCUGUUGCUUUCCCCCUCUUUUUUGCACCAGUUAUUUCAGCGAGGAGGCAAGGACGGUUACACUAUUUAGACUGGGGUGUGGCUGUACUGCCAUUGGCAAUUUGGCAUGCUGCCGUAACUGAUACGGUGUAUACGCGGUGCACCUGUGUUGGUGCGUCGUUCUCUUUCUGUCCUUCCCGAGCGUGUAGAAACAUUUCUUCCAGCCAUUAGAUUUCCACAGAGAGUGUUGUACGGCUUCUCACCAUUCCAAAAUUUGAUAGAAAGAAAUCACAAGUACGAGUACUGUUUUUUUU
This is a long non-coding RNA of Lolium perenne, 891 nucleotides long. RefSeq lists it as uncharacterized. Lineage: Eukaryota; Viridiplantae; Streptophyta; Magnoliopsida; Poales; Poaceae. The record is from RefSeq and is a predicted model, not a curated record.